RNAcentral lists this ribosomal RNA (253 nucleotides) under uncultured bacterium. Its description in RNAcentral is "partial 16S ribosomal RNA". It matches the Rfam family "Bacterial small subunit ribosomal RNA", at positions 524 to 776 of the family's 1533-position model. The record is from RNAcentral.
UACGGAGGGUGCAAGCGUUAUCCGGAUUCACUGGGUUUAAAGGGUGCGUAGGCGGGUAAGUAAGUCCGUGGUGAAAUCUCUGAGCUUAACUCAGUAACUGCCGUGGAUACUAUUUGCCUUGAAUAUUGUGGAGGUGAGCGGAAUAUGUCAUGUAGCGGUGAAAUGCUUAGAUAUGACAUAGAACACCAAUUGCGAAGGCAGCUCACUACACAAUCAUUGACGCUGAGGCACGAAAGCGUGGGGAUCAAACAGG